CGGGCACAGAGGGAAGCCAGGUGGCGACACCGCGCGGAACCCGAAAGCCGUUCUCAGUUCGGAUCGGAGUCUGCAACCCGACUCCGUGAAGCUGGAUUCGCUAGUAAUCGCGAAUCAGAAUGUCGCGGUGAAUACGUUCCCGGGUCUUGUACACGCCGCCCGUCACACCAUGGGAGUUGGAAAUGCCCGAAGUCAGUGACCCAACCGCAAGGAGGGAGCUGCCGAAGGCAGGUUCGAUAACUGGGGUGAAGUCGUAACAAGGUACC
This 266-nucleotide ribosomal RNA is filed under the name uncultured bacterium. RNAcentral describes it as "partial 16S ribosomal RNA". It matches the Rfam family "Bacterial small subunit ribosomal RNA", at positions 1234 to 1500 of the family's 1533-position model. The record is from RNAcentral.